UACGUAGGGGGCAAGCGUUAUUCGGAAUUAUUGGGCGUAAAGGGCGCGUAGGCGGCUAGAUGUGUCAAAGGUGAAAUCCCUCGGCUCAACUGAGGAACUGCCUUUGAAACUGUCUGGCUUGAGGCCGGGAGAGGGUAGCGGAAUUCCCAGUGUAGCGGUGAAAUGCGUAGAUAUCUGGAGGAAUACCGGUGGCGAAGGCGGCAUCCUGGACCGAGAUUGACGCUGAUGAGCGAAAGCUAGGGGAGCAAACGGG
Molecule: ribosomal RNA, 253 nt
Filed under: uncultured bacterium
Lineage: Bacteria
Description: partial 16S ribosomal RNA
Rfam family: Bacterial small subunit ribosomal RNA
Source: RNAcentral